CAUUACCCCAACCUCUGAUGGAGAAACAGGUUCAAAGUGAUUGAGUCGCAUCCCCAAGGUCGCACACGGAUAAGCAACCUAAACCCAAGUCCUCAUGCUCUCUUCCCCUGGGAGGGGUCGGACAUGGAGGCCCGCAGGCGUUUUCUCCACCUUCCACAGCCUUGAUUGUGCGGAGGCAGCAGCGCCACCCACAGGCAGCUCUGGCUUGAAUCCCAGCUUCCCCACUUCACCUGGGGGACCUUUGGUGGGUCACUGAACCCUUUGGGCUCUUCAUCUGUAAAGCGAACUAAGAACACAGCCUGGGCUGACGGGGAGGAUUACUGAGAAGGAGAAAUGCCAUUUCCUGGGCCUUUUGCAAAAUGUGUAACGGACAUCCGCUAGCAGAAAGUCUGAAACUAGAUUUCACCACUUGGGAGGUGGGAGAGCGGUGGGUAGGGGGGUUUGAUCUGAGCCACCCCAGAUUUCAGGGCCAACGCUGAUCUGGAAGCUCCUGGGGACUUCUGAGACUCUCCAUCCCCUGGCAUUAGAAAAUGUACAGGGAAGCACGCUGGAAACCAGGAAGCUCUAGGCAAGUGUAGAUUACCAUGACCAAGCCUGGGCUGGGAAGAGGAAGAGAGGACAGAGCCAGGCUGGGAGGGAGCCAGAAAACACUCUUGUGGGCUGGGCUCUAGCAAAAAGUGCUGAUUUGGGGAAUCCGUGGAUUAGAGAAGAAUCUCUUUGCCUAUAUCUUGCUGUGUGACCAUGGGUAAAGUCCCAAACUUCUCUGAACCUCAGUUCCCACAGCUAUAAAACCAGGAUAUUGGGCCAGCCUCCUAGAUCUUUGCAGGUAUCAGCUGUCUAUGAAGUGUCACCCACUCGUACCACCUCUGUUCCGUGAGACACGGUCACCUCACCACCUUGGGAGGCGUUGUUGCUUCCAUUUCCAAUGUGAGCAAACGGAGGCUCUGUGAACCGUGUUCCCAAGGUUGCAGAAGGAGAAGGGGCCGGGCCAGAAGCAGAACCAGCUCCAUCUGCCCUCCAGGGCGGUGCUCUGCCGCAGUCCCUGAGAUGGCUGCCCUCCCUCCGUGCAGGCGCUGGCCUGAACAGGCUGGCCCAGGGCCCCCCAAACAUUCCAGAGGGGACAGUCAG
Molecule: long non-coding RNA, 1128 nt
Filed under: Homo sapiens (human)
Lineage: Eukaryota; Metazoa; Chordata; Mammalia; Primates; Hominidae
Description: HSALNT0215657
Source: RNAcentral